CUUGGCGGGGGCGUAGCGGUCGGGGUCGUCGCCGAACUCUGCAAGCACCCGCGCGCCGAGGAUCUGCCCUAGGCCGGGCUGG
Molecule: small RNA, 82 nt
Filed under: Actinomadura madurae
Lineage: Bacteria; Bacillati; Actinomycetota; Actinomycetes; Streptosporangiales; Thermomonosporaceae
Description: Actinobacteria sRNA Ms_AS-4
Rfam family: Actinobacteria sRNA Ms_AS-4
Source: Rfam by way of RNAcentral